Long non-coding RNA from Rhineura floridana, 1391 nucleotides. RefSeq lists it as uncharacterized. The record is from RefSeq and is a predicted model, not a curated record. NCBI's taxonomy places the organism in Eukaryota, Metazoa, Chordata, Lepidosauria, Squamata, Rhineuridae. The transcript has 3 exons.
GCACAGCCUGUGCGCGCUCCUCUGCCGGCUUCGUGCCAUUCCCCUGAGUCACGCUGACUCGGAGGAAGAAAAAAACACCCCGCCGCGCCGCUUUUUGUCGAGCAAGCUGCUAGUCCUGGCUGACGCCGACGCCCCUCCCCCUGCCCUCUCCUCCGCGCCGGCUGCUCGCCGUACCUCGCGCCGGCUGGGCUGCUGGGCGCUCUUCCCGGGCGCCGGCUCCUGGGGUAACCCUGCCCGUGCCGGGGCGUCGCCCUGGCCUUCUCCCUGGAGCAUGGAUUGCGUUACGAGCAUCGCACACGCACACCCGCCGCCGGCAGAGAUGCAAAGCGAGCGGGAAGAAGAGGACGGGACCGCGAUCCCCUCCUGGAGCCGCCCGGUCCAAGCAUGCUUCUCGCUGCCCGGGGGAGCAGGCGAGGGGAAACCCCGCGCGCAGCCUUGAAAAUGACCCGCCAGCAAGGGGGUGGGACCCGGAGGCUUUUCCGGACACACGCGCGGAGGGGGCGGGCGGGAGACGGACUCUGCCUGCUGCUGCGGCCAGGAACUGCCUGCGAGUGACGCGCGGAAAUUGACCAGCCCGCGGGAGGAGAUUGACUAAAGAGAGAGAGAUGGCGGAAGGGGAGCCCUGACCUCCCUGCCAGGGCGCAGACCCCGGCUCUGUUUGCGGUCCGAGCGGGCGCUGGUGAAUAGCGUCUCACUGGCCCCUGCGACUGGGCAGAAGGUGUGACUCCCUCACCCCGCCUCGCCUGGGGAAAUAAAACGUGAUAACCCCCUUGAUCUGGGAUUGGUCCACCUCUGUCUGAAUACUGCUUACCAUGAAGACCCUAUCUGGGAUCAACUGGAAGGCAGUCCAUUUCCAUUUUGCAUCACCCUAAGCUUGUGAGAAAGAAUGACCUUGUCACUUCAGAUGGACCUAGGAACACCCUGUUUUAGGCUGGCAGCGACUCUCCAGAGUUUCAGGCAGGCGUCUUUCCCAGCUGUACCUAGAGAUGAACCUGCUGCCUUUUGCAUGCAAAGCAGAUGCUGGACUAAUGACCCAUAGUCCUUCCCCAUACCAUAGUCCAGAGCUUCUCCACCCCUGUUUUAAGCUGCUGAGAUGCGCUAAUGUAAACCAGAACGUGGAACUUUGCUGGAAGCCGCUGUGAACCUGAGCUUUGGUGUAAUGGAACAUGAAUGAAUCUGGCUCCCAAGCAGCCAAAUGCGACACUGCUACUUAUAAUAAUGAGCAGAAGAAUCUGCCAAACAUAAAGUAAUGGGGGGGGAGCAGGGGAAGAUGUGCAUUGUUUGAACUGUUUGACAUCAUAAAAGAAGAUCCACACUUGGGAUGUUUAUGCCCUAGAUUGUUAUUUUCUGAUAAUGUACCUGGUUAAAAUAAAGUUUUCCCUCUGGAUGCA